Molecule: ribosomal RNA, 720 nt
Filed under: Bacillus safensis
Lineage: Bacteria; Bacillati; Bacillota; Bacilli; Caryophanales; Bacillaceae
Also listed under: 1 other name
Description: bacterial SSU rRNA
Rfam family: Bacterial small subunit ribosomal RNA
Source: RNAcentral
AGCGGACAGAAGGGAGCUUGCUCCCGGAUGUUAGCGGCGGACGGGUGAGUAACACGUGGGUAACCUGCCUGUAAGACUGGGAUAACUCCGGGAAACCGGAGCUAAUACCGGAUAGUUCCUUGAACCGCAUGGUUCAAGGAUGAAAGACGGUUUCGGCUGUCACUUACAGAUGGACCCGCGGCGCAUUAGCUAGUUGGUGGGGUAAUGGCUCACCAAGGCGACGAUGCGUAGCCGACCUGAGAGGGUGAUCGGCCACACUGGGACUGAGACACGGCCCAGACUCCUACGGGAGGCAGCAGUAGGGAAUCUUCCGCAAUGGACGAAAGUCUGACGGAGCAACGCCGCGUGAGUGAUGAAGGUUUUCGGAUCGUAAAGCUCUGUUGUUAGGGAAGAACAAGUGCGAGAGUAACUGCUCGCACCUUGACGGUACCUAACCAGAAAGCCACGGCUAACUACGUGCCAGCAGCCGCGGUAAUACGUAGGUGGCAAGCGUUGUCCGGAAUUAUUGGGCGUAAAGGGCUCGCAGGCGGUUUCUUAAGUCUGAUGUGAAAGCCCCCGGCUCAACCGGGGAGGGUCAUUGGAAACUGGGAAACUUGAGUGCAGAAGAGGAGAGUGGAAUUCCACGUGUAGCGGUGAAAUGCGUAGAGAUGUGGAGGAACACCAGUGGCGAAGGCGACUCUCUGGUCUGUAACUGACGCUGAGGAGCGAAAGCGUGGGGAG